ACGGGAGGCAGCAGCUAAGAAUAUUCCGCAAUGGACGAAAGUCUGACGGAGCGACGCCGCGUGGAUGAUGAAGGCCGGAAGGUUGUAAAAUCCUUUUAUGACUGAGGAAUAAGUGGAGUGAGAGAAACGCUUCAUGGUGACUGUAGGUCAUGAAUAAGCAACGGCUAAUUACGUGCCAGCAGCCGCGGUAACACGUAAGUUGCGAGCGUUGUUCGGAAUUAUUGGGCGUAAAGGGCAUGUAGGCGGUCAUGAAAGUCUGUAGUGAAAUCCCUGGGCUUAACCCAGGAACUGCUAUGGAAACUGCAAGACUAGAAUUACUGAAGGGCAACUGGAAUUCCAAGUGUAGGGGUGAAAUCUGUAGAUAUUUGGAAGAACACCGAUGGCGAAGGCAAGUUGCUGGCAGAUAAUUGACGCUGAGGUGCGAAGGUGCGGGGAGCAAACAGGAUUAGAUACCCUGGUA
Molecule: ribosomal RNA, 460 nt
Filed under: uncultured Treponema sp.
Lineage: Bacteria; Pseudomonadati; Spirochaetota; Spirochaetia; Treponematales; Treponemataceae
Description: partial 16S ribosomal RNA
Rfam family: Bacterial small subunit ribosomal RNA
Source: RNAcentral